Molecule: ribosomal RNA, 253 nt
Filed under: uncultured bacterium
Lineage: Bacteria
Description: partial 16S ribosomal RNA
Rfam family: Bacterial small subunit ribosomal RNA
Source: RNAcentral
UACGUAGGGUGCGAGCGUUGUCCGGAAUUACUGGGCGUAAAGAGCUCGUAGGCGGCUUGUCGCGUUGUUCGUGAAAAUUUACCGCUCAACGGUGAACUUGCGGGCGAUACGGGCAGGCUAGAGUACUGCAGGGGAGACUGGAAUUCCUGGUGUAGCGGUGAAAUGCGCAGAUAUCGGGAGGAACACCAGUGGCGAAGGCGGCUUCCUGGCCUGUUCUUGACGCUGAGGCGCGAAAGCUAGGGGAGCAAACGGG